UGGGGAAUUUUGGAUCAAUGGGGCGAACCCGUACGAUCCAGCCAUGCCGCGUGUGUGAAGAAGGCCUUCGGGUUGUAAAGCACUUUCGGACGGAACGAAAUCGCGCGGGUGAAUAAUCCGCGUGGAUGACGGUACCGUAGGAAGAAGCACCGGCUAACUACGUGCCAGCAGCCGCGGUAAUACGUAGGGUGCGAGCGUUAAUCGGAAUUACUGGGCGUAAAGCGUGCGCAGGCGGCGCCGCAAGUCAGGCGUGAAAUCCCGCAGCUACUUAGGAUGGCAGGCUGAAUACUACGGUGCUGGAGUGUGGCAGAGGGAGGUGGAAUUCCACGUGUAGCGGUGAAAUGCGUUAGAGAUGUGGAGGAACACCGAUGGCGAAGGCAGCCUCCUGGGCCAACACUGACGCUCAUGCACGAAAGCGUGGGGAGC
This 426-nucleotide ribosomal RNA is filed under the name uncultured Burkholderiales bacterium. Its description in RNAcentral is "bacterial SSU rRNA". It matches the Rfam family "Bacterial small subunit ribosomal RNA", at positions 355 to 769 of the family's 1533-position model. Lineage: Bacteria; Pseudomonadati; Pseudomonadota; Betaproteobacteria; Burkholderiales. The record is from RNAcentral.